This is an RNA transcript of Hippocampus zosterae (dwarf seahorse), 1758 nucleotides long. It is a transcript of the gene named checkpoint kinase 2, with no coding region annotated. NCBI's taxonomy places the organism in Eukaryota, Metazoa, Chordata, Actinopteri, Syngnathiformes, Syngnathidae. The record is from RefSeq and is a predicted model, not a curated record. The transcript is spliced from 15 exons.
AUACCAUUGGUCAGCUGGGCCGGUGACCCAAAAGGAAAACAAGGCCCGGACUUCCUGUGAGGCUCCCGCUCAAACUAUUCGCGCGGCUGCUGUACCGGAAAAAGAGGACGACGACGCUCGCAUGUGCGUCAAGCAAGGCACCAAUGUCCCAAGAGAUUCCGAAUGAGGGGGACCGGCCCCAGUCCCCCUCGCAGGCCCGGUCCACUCUGUCCCCGUCGCAGGCCCAGUCCAAGUCCCAGGGCGGCUCCAGUUCCUCCAGUGGCCCCACGUCAGGCAGCCAGUCGUCAAGUGGCUCGGGGACGCUGAGUAGCGUGGACACGCUUCCCGUCACCUUGCCGUCCGUCCCCGAGGAGCCCGAAAGUCAACCUUGGGGACGCCUGCUGCCCAUGCAGAACGGCUUCCGCGCUCACGAUUGCGUGGAGGACGAGUAUUUGUUUGGCCGAGACUCCAAAUGUAAUUACGUCCUGGACGAUCCCGAUCACAAAGGAUCCUUACGAUUUAGAAUUUACAGCAAGAAACACUUCAGGAUCUACAGGGAGGGCACCGAGGUGUUUGUUCAGGACCUGAGUAACAACGGGACCUUCGUUGACGGGAACAAAAUCGGACGCAACAAGAAACUUCCUCUGGUCAACAACGCAGUGCUGGCGCUGUCGGAGCAUCGCAACAAAGUGUUCGUCUUCAUCGACCUGAUGUCUGACCAAGAGUCCACCUUGCCCGGGGAGCUUCGUGACAAAUAUCUGCUGACUCGACGGAUCGGGACAGGGGUGUGCGGCGAGGUCAAGCUGGCGUUCGAACGCGCCACGUGUAAGAAGUUUGCGGUGAAAAUCAUCAACAAGAGCAACUUCAAGUCUGAAGGAGCGAGUAUUAGCCGCGACGGCCACGAGAAACGCCCAAACGGAGAUAGAAAUCCUUCAACGCAUCGAUCAUCCGUGCCUCAUCAAGACAGAGGACUUCUACCAGACGGACGACACCUUCUUCAUCGUGCUGGAGUUGAUGGAGGGCGGCGAGCUCUUCAACCGCCUCAAAACGCAACAGCGACUGAGCGAGGCCACGGCCAAGCUGUACUUCUACCAAAUGUUGAAAGCCGUGCAGUACCUGCACAGCCAGGGUAUCAUCCACCGGGACCUGAAACCGGAGAACAUCCUCCUGUCGUCGCAGGAGGACGAUUGCCUCAUCAAGGUGACAGACUUCAACCAGUCGCGGAUCCUGGAGGAGGCGGCCUUGAUGAGGACGCUGUGCGGGACGCCAUCCUACCUGGCGCCCGAAGUUUUGACGCACGCCACCACCGGCGGAUACGGGCUGCCCGUCGAUGCCUGGAGCCUCGGCGUGCUCCUCUUCGUCUGCCUGUGUGGGUACCCGCCGUUCCACGAGAACUUCUCGGAGCUGUCAGUGAGCGAGCAGAUCAUGCAAGGCCGCUUCACGAUGGUGCCGUCCAAGUGGCGCCACGUGUCCGACCAGGCCAAGGACGUGGUGAGGAAGCUUCUGGUGGUGACGCCGGCUAACAGGAUGAGCAUCGAUGAGGCGCUCCAGCACGCUUGGAUGCAGGACCCCGUAAUGUUGGAGAAAGCCCAUCGACUGAUGUACCCAUCUUCUGAUGCUGAGGAUGUUGCCAUGGAAGCGGGGCAAGCGCCGUCGUCGUCAAGGAAACGACUGCGAGAAAACCCGGAUGAUGAGGGACGUCCUGCCAAACAAGCCACGCCCACUGGCAUGCAAUAAGGCACAUGUAAAUGUUUUUCAAUAAAGUCAGGUUUGUUUUUU